Molecule: long non-coding RNA, 637 nt
Organism: Homo sapiens (human)
Lineage: Eukaryota; Metazoa; Chordata; Mammalia; Primates; Hominidae
Exons: 2
Source: RefSeq, a predicted model, not a curated record
CAGUCAUUUAAUUGUUUCAGGAUGCAGUAUAGCCUAGAACCAGAGGAAGUGUGCUGAUGUGUAGGAGUGUAUACAUGUCCAUGUGUGUGCAUGUGAUUGUUUCUGUUUAUGAUAGUAAAAUUCAAGGAAGUGUUGUAUGGAGUUUGAUGAGGGGCACCGUUUAGUGAGAUGUGCAUUCCAAGUAAUGUAGCAGAUGAAGGUGCUGUUGAAAGAGCCUUGUUACAGAUGAGGAGAGCAGGUAAUCAUCCCCCAUAGAGGCUGGCAGGAAGGUGGAGGGCAUCAAUAUCCGCACGCCUACGUUUUGCUUCUAUUUUUGCCAACGUUGCCAUAUCUAUUGGCUUUAAUAGGAUUCAAAUGAAAAACAAAAGCAGAAACAAGAAGGGGUGUAGAAAUCAAGGUCCCUUAUCUGUAUUCGGCUGGAUUCGAGAUGGAAAAUUUUACAGGGACGUACGCACCGCAUCACACUGGUCAAUUGCUCUAAGAUACAUCUGGGGGAAAAGCACAGUGUCCUUCGUCUCCAUGAGAGAACUUACCGGAAGCAGCAUACACAACUCUACCAAAGAAGAAGUACAGUACCCAUUUCCGUAUAAGAAUAUAUUAUUUAAAAGACAGUUUAAAAAUAAAAUUCUGUACAGCA